AUUUAAGCUCCAUCCUUGUUAUUCAUUCUGGUUAGAAGCCUGCUGUAGGUCUGCCUGGUCUCUAAGUGGAGCUUGGGCUCCUGUGGCUCUGUCUUUUUACUGCCCUGUGCUCCAGAUCUUGCUUUGGCUGAUGCUGACCAUAGAUGAAGUUCCUAACUGAGAUGCUGCUGGAUGCACCAGGAUGCUGUGUGCCUGCUCUUAUACUGUGCUGCCCUGUAUGAUGGAGGAGCUGCCUUGUGUAGUGCCCUGGAAGCCUUUCCUCCAUAUGGGGCCCAGCGAGCUGGCUCUCACACAGCACUGAAUGAGGAAAGAAAGCUUCAAAGAAGGGCGGCUCUGGCUUCUCAAGGGACAACUGAGAUGGGCAGGCAGCCUGACCUUCGUGCUGCUGCUGAAUCCACUGCUGUUUCCUCAGGGCUGGACAAAGGCUGCCAUGGAAGCAGGGGCUGGUGGCAAAGUCAGAGGGUAAACUGUUCCUUAGGGUAGGUGCAUCUAUUCCUAAGCAGCAGUCAGCUGUUAUUUGGCUUCCUCACGAAGCAGAAUUGCUGUAGGAAAUCGUGCUGACCAGAGUUAGAAGAUGUGCUCCAGAUUGGUGCUACAAACAGGGAGGCAUUGUUAUUUGUGUCACAGAUUGGAGGGAAUGAAUCUGCAUGUUGGAGCCUCUAUAGACAAAGUUCUGUGUAAACAGGAAAGGAAAAAAGAGCAAAUGGUUAUGAGAAAAAAAGAAGCUGUGGAGGAAAAAGGAUCCUAGAGGAGGGUGAGAAGGCAGAGUGAGGCGUGUGAUGCUGCAGCACUGAAGGCAGUGACACAAGGAUGGGCAAAGCAGAGCCACGGCAGCAUCUUCCCCCUGGCUGAGUGAACCAAACUAAUGUCAUAUUGUAGGUUCUGAGAUUUCAAGAUCUAAUAGGACAUGUAAUUACGAUGCUGAAGCUAAUAGUCUCCAGCCAUCCUUGUGCUGGUGUUACUGCCUGCUAACAGCCUUCAGAGUCAGAUAGAGCAGUACAGCCUGGUGCUUUUUCCCUCUACCAAUUACAUCUUUUGACAUCUCAGCUUUUGGCAGUAGUUCUGGUCUUGCAUUCUCUGUUUACCACGUGCCGUUGUCGUACAGCUCAGGCACUGCCUUUCUGAUCAAACUUGAGCUCGCCAUUAAUUCUGACUCAUUUAUGAGCAGGUGCUGCCUGCAGCUGAGUCCUUACCCUGGGCAGCAGGAGCUCUGCAGUCAUACAGUGUGUGCUUUGUGGGGAGGCCAGCAGUGGCCCUACAGAUUGGGGGUGUGCAUGGGGGAGGGUCUCACCCCAAGGUUCAGCAUUGGUUGUCAUAUCAACGAGAGUGCUUUGGGUAUCAUUCUGUAUGGGGAAGUGCUGUUUCCUGGCCAAAAGUGGACAUCUGCCUGAGUGGUUGGGGCUGGGUGCAGCUUAACCUCCUCAAACCACCCCUGCAUGUUGAUUCUUCAGUUUCAUAUUGCUCCACUGAAGCUAAUGAUAAUCAAGAUUUUAUUUGUUCUGCAUAAUCUACAUUGGCCUUUUCACACGCUAAACCCAAGAUCACACCACAUCAUUUAGAAUCGCUUCCAGAAAUGAUUUCCUCUCUCUGCUGAAGCCUCUGCUGAGUGUCCGCUAUGCAGAUCUGAAAUUGGAUUACCAGAGCAGCAGAGGAGAUGAGGGCUGGAGAGAGCCGGAGGAAGCAUUUAGUUCGAAUUUACUGUCGUACUGAAUCAAUCUCCAUAUGGAAGGCUGAUAUCUCUGUCGAUGUGGGCUGCUUUCAGCCCAGACACCAAUAAAUCGUGGGUCAAUCAGAGGAAGGCGGUGAGC
Coturnix japonica (Japanese quail) is the source of this 1808-nucleotide long non-coding RNA. NCBI's taxonomy places the organism in Eukaryota, Metazoa, Chordata, Aves, Galliformes, Phasianidae. The record is from Ensembl.